UAGUAGAGCUUCUCAGAAUGACG
This 23-nucleotide non-coding RNA is filed under the name Cricetulus griseus (Chinese hamster). The record is from RNAcentral. Lineage: Eukaryota; Metazoa; Chordata; Mammalia; Rodentia; Cricetidae.